RNAcentral lists this ribosomal RNA (253 nucleotides) under uncultured bacterium. RNAcentral describes it as "partial 16S ribosomal RNA". It matches the Rfam family "Bacterial small subunit ribosomal RNA", at positions 524 to 776 of the family's 1533-position model. The record is from RNAcentral.
AACGUAGGAGGCAAGCGUUAUCCGGAGUUACUGGGCGUAAAGAGCGUGUAGGCGGGCUGGCAAGUCUGGUGUGAAAGCUCCCGGCUAAACUGGGAGAGUGCAUUGGAGACUGCCAAUCUAGAGGCUGUCAGAGGGUCGUGGAAUUCCGGGUGUAGUGGUGAAAUGCGUAGAGAUCCGGAGGAACACCAGUGGCGAAGGCGACGACCUGGGGCAGAACUGACGCUGAGGAGCGAAAGCAUGGGGAGCGAACAGG